RNAcentral lists this ribosomal RNA (274 nucleotides) under uncultured bacterium. RNAcentral describes it as "partial 16S ribosomal RNA". It matches the Rfam family "Bacterial small subunit ribosomal RNA", at positions 523 to 796 of the family's 1533-position model. The record is from RNAcentral.
AUACGGAGGGGGCUAGCGUUGUUCGGAAUUACUGGGCGUAAAGCGCGUGUAGGCGGAUCGUUAAGUCAGGGGUGAAAGCCCGGAGCUCAACUCCGGAAUUGCCCUUGAUACUGGCGAUCUAGAGGCCGGGAGAGGUGAGCGGAAUUCCCAGUGUAGAGGUGAAAUUCGUAGAUAUUGAGAGGAACACCAGUGGCGAAGGCGGCUCACUGGCCCGGUUCUGACGCUGAGACGCGAAAGCGUGGGGAGCAAACAGGAUUAGAAACCCUAGUAGUCC